GACGUAGGGUGCGAGCGUUGUCCGGAUUUAUUGGGCGUAAAGAGCUCGUAGGCGGCUUGUCGCGUCGACCGUGAAAACUUGGGGCUCAACCCCAAGCCUGCGGUCGAUACGGGCAGGCUAGAGUUCGGUAGGGGAGACUGGAAUUCCUGGUGUAGCGGUGAAAUGCGCAGAUAUCAGGAGGAACACCGGUGGCGAAGGCGGCUCUCUGGACCACAACUGACGCUGAGGCGCGAAAGUGUGGGGAGCGAACAGG
RNAcentral lists this ribosomal RNA (253 nucleotides) under uncultured bacterium. Its description in RNAcentral is "partial 16S ribosomal RNA". It matches the Rfam family "Bacterial small subunit ribosomal RNA", at positions 524 to 776 of the family's 1533-position model. The record is from RNAcentral.